RNAcentral lists this unclassified non-coding RNA (1472 nucleotides) under Limulus polyphemus (Atlantic horseshoe crab). RNAcentral describes it as "protein SSUH2 homolog, transcript variant X1". The record is from RNAcentral. Lineage: Eukaryota; Metazoa; Arthropoda; Merostomata; Xiphosura; Limulidae.
UAAAGUGUUCGAUUUUAAGUUUGCCAAGCAACAAAUCGGCAAUCCUAUAUUAUCAUAGAUUGGAAAUAAAAGUGUAGAACACUUCACAAAACGACCUCUUUAUUGUGUGAAAUCAAAUAAGGAAAAAUGUGUUUAGCAGUAUCAGGACUGCAGUCAAUCAGAGUGGAAUGAAUGUACAGUGCAUACUGUUAUGAACCUUUUUAUUCGUUUAUACCUCUGGUAAAUAGUGCUCGUCAAAAUAAAAUGCCGUUAUCACGACAAAGUGGCCGAGAGCGGAGUAGUCACUCUCCGGGAAGCAGUAUCUACCGGCGGCAAGGAGGGAGGCGAGAUUCAGGUCUGCGUCCUGCCAGCUCCUUUAAACGUCAACAUAGCAUCCGAAUUACUCCACCACCAGAUGCCAUUGACGAUGAACCGGAACCUACAGCACCACCCGUGGAACUCAUGGACAAAGUUGAUGGAUAUGAAUACGUGUCGUUUGACGUGGUCGAAGUUCCACCACCAACGAUGACCUUUCCCAAAAAGGAAGAGGAAGAACCUGAGCGGGCCUCACCCCCCAGUGGUCCCCAGUUGACUGAACAAGAAGCUCGGCAAGCUCUACUGAAGUACGUGUCAACACGUUGCUGCUACGGAAAGAGUGCUGCAAGAGAUAUGGCUAUUACAAAAAUUGAUCACUCCUGUGCUUUCCAUUAUACCCUGGAAACGUUUUCUGAAAAGAGACAAACAGCUUGGGCAUUUGAACCUUAUGCAGGAGGGACAAUAGACAGCUCUUCUACUGACACUCCUCCUGGUCCUUGGGAUAUUUCUGCUGCUCCUUCCUCACCCUUCACAAACUCCAACACUCAGCUAGAGGUUCCACACACAGCUUCAAUCAAAACAUGCCACACCUGUGGAGGGGUUGGACGUAAGCGCUGCUACACAUGUUCAGGAAAUGGUUACGAACAGUGUUAUUCAUGCCAUGGUGAUGGCUAUAAAAACACCCUGAGUGGAGCACAUGAGAGAUGCUUUAGAUGUCAUGGAAUAGGACGCAGAAGGUGCUGGAAGUGCAAUGGUGAUGGCCUAGCCUUGUGUAAGGGGUGUGCUGGUACAGGUCAGAUCAAGUGUUAUAUCAGACUUACUGUUACAUGGAUGAACCAUAUUGAUGAACAUGUAGUUGAACACUCUGCUGUUCCUGAUGAGAAAAUCAAAAGUGGCUCAGGACAAGUGGUCUUUGAAGAAGAGGAUGAGAAUGUGGCUUUGGCCAAUAAAUCACUUUCCAAAUACUGCCAUUAAUAUGGCAUCUGUGCAGCUAAUUCAGCAACAUGCAACAGCAUUUCCUGCAGAAAAGGUUCUUCGACAGCGCCAGCGGGUACGCAUCAUUCCUGUCACUACAGUUCAUUACCAGUGGAAAAAUCAUAACAACACCUUUAGUGUGUUUGGCUUUGAGAAAAAGGUCUAUGCUCCCAAGUACCCUCAGACUUGCUGCUGUGGAUGUA